Molecule: transfer RNA, 72 nt
Filed under: Promethearchaeota archaeon
Lineage: Archaea; Promethearchaeati; Promethearchaeota
Description: Candidatus Lokiarchaeota archaeon (microbial mat metagenome) tRNA-Thr
Rfam family: tRNA
About the family: Transfer RNA (tRNA) molecules are approximately 80 nucleotides in length. Their secondary structure includes four short double-helical elements and three loops (D, anti-codon, and T loops). Further hydrogen bonds mediate the characteristic L-shaped molecular structure. tRNAs have two regions of fundamental functional importance: the anti-codon, which is responsible for specific mRNA codon recognition, and the 3' end, to which the tRNAs corresponding amino acid is attached (by aminoacyl-tRNA synthetases). tRNAs cope with the degeneracy of the genetic code in two manners: having more than one tRNA (with a specific anti-codon) for a particular amino acid; and 'wobble' base-pairing, i.e. permitting non-standard base-pairing at the 3rd anti-codon position.
Source: RNAcentral
GCCUCUGUAACUCAGCGGUAGAGUGUCUGACUUGUAAUCAGGUUGUCGAGGGUUCAAAUCCCUCCAGAGGCU